AGAGUUUGAUUAUGGCUCAGGAUGAACGCUGGCGGCGUGCCUAACACAUUCAAGUCGAACGAACUGUAGAAAUACAGUGAGUGGCGGACGGGUGAGUAACGCGUAAGCAAUCUGCCUUUGUGUGUGGAAUAACAACCGGAAACAGUUGCUAAUACCGCAUAACGCAUAGGAGUCGCAUGGCUCUUAUGCCAAAGAUUUAUCGCACGAAGAUGAGCUUGCGUCCGAUUAGAUAGUUGGCGGGGUAACGGCCCACCAAGUCUACGAUCGGUAGCCGGACUGAGAGGUUGAACGGCCACAUUGGAACUGAGAUACGGUCCAGACUCCUACGGGAGGCAGCAGUGGGGAAUAUUGGGCAAUGGACGAAAGUCUGACCCAGCGACGCCGCGUGAGGGAAGAAGGUCUUCGGAUUGUAAACCUUAGUCAACAGGGACGAAGCAAGUGACGGUACCUGUGGAGGAAGCCACGGCUAACUACGUGCCAGCCGCCGC
RNAcentral lists this ribosomal RNA (488 nucleotides) under uncultured bacterium. RNAcentral's name for it is "bacterial SSU rRNA". It matches the Rfam family "Bacterial small subunit ribosomal RNA", at positions 8 to 518 of the family's 1533-position model. The record is from RNAcentral.